Molecule: non-coding RNA, 410 nt
Organism: Peromyscus leucopus (white-footed mouse)
Lineage: Eukaryota; Metazoa; Chordata; Mammalia; Rodentia; Cricetidae
Source: the annotation of a RefSeq genome assembly
UCUCUCCACAGUCACUGAGCACACAGGACCUCAGCAUGGGAUGGAGCUGGAUCAUCCUCUUCCUCCUGUCAGUCACUACAGGUGUCCACUCCCAGGUCCAGCUGCAGCAGUCUGGUCCUGAGCUGGGGAAACCUGGUUCUUCUGUGAAGUUGUCCUGCAAGGCUUCUGGCUACACCUUUGCCUACUACUAUGUGCACUGGGUGAAGCAGAGGCCUGGACAGGGCCUGGAGUGGGUUGGAAGCAUAUUUCCUGGAACUGGUUAUACUGACUACAAUCAGAAGUUCAAGGACAAGGCCAAAAUGACUGCAGAUAAAUCCUCCAGCACAGCCUACAUGAAUCUCAGCAGCCUGACCUCUGAGGACUCUGCAGUCUAUUACUGUGCAACACACAGUGUUGUAACCACAUACUGA